UGCAAGUCGAACGAGAAAGUGGAGCAAUCCAUGAGUACAGUGGCGUACGGGUGAGUAACACGUGGGUGAUCUACCUUUUAGUGAGGAAUAACCGAGGGAAACUUCGGCUAAUACCGCAUAAGCCCGAGAGGGGAAAGUCGAAAGACGCUGAAAGAGGAGCCCGCGGCCGAUUAGCUAGUUGGUGAGGUAAGAGCCCACCAAGGCAGAGAUCGGUAGCCGGCCUGAGAGGGCACACGGCCACACUGGCACUGAAACACGGGCCAGACUCCUACGGGAGGCAGCAGUGGGGAAUCUUGCACAAUGGGGGAAACCCUGAUGCAGCGACGCCGCGUGAGCGAUGAAGCCCUUCGGGGUGUAAAGCUCUUUCGUCAGGGAAGAUAGUGACGGUACCUGGAGAAGCAGCUGCGGCUAACUACGUGCCAGCAGCCGCGGUAAUACGUAGGCAGCAAGCGUUGUUCGGAGUUACUGGGCGUAAAGGGUGUGUAGGCGGUUCCUUAAGUUUGCUGUGAGAUCUCCCGGCUUAACCGGGAGGGUGCGGUGAAUACUGAGGGACUAGAGUACGGGAGAGGAAAGUGGAAUUCCUGGUGUAGCGGUGAAAUGCGUAGAUAUCAGGAGGAACACCGGUGGUGUAGACGGCUUUCUGGACCGACACUGACGCUGAGACACGAAAGCGUGGGUAGCAAACAGGAUUAGAUACCCUGGUAGUCCACGCCCUAAACGAUGCAUAUUUGGUGUGGGCAGUUCAUUCUGUCCGUGCCGGAGCUAACGCGUUAAAUAUGCCGCCUGGGGAGUACAGUCGCAA
Molecule: ribosomal RNA, 802 nt
Filed under: uncultured Acidobacteriota bacterium
Lineage: Bacteria; Pseudomonadati; Acidobacteriota
Description: bacterial SSU rRNA
Rfam family: Bacterial small subunit ribosomal RNA
Source: RNAcentral